This 253-nucleotide ribosomal RNA is filed under the name uncultured bacterium. RNAcentral describes it as "partial 16S ribosomal RNA". It matches the Rfam family "Bacterial small subunit ribosomal RNA", at positions 524 to 776 of the family's 1533-position model. The record is from RNAcentral.
UACAGAGACUACAAGCGUUAUUCGGAUUCACUAAGCGUAAAAAGUGCACAGACGGCCAAGUGUGUGAGGCGUGAAAGCCCGGGGCUUAACCCCGGAAUUGCACCUCAAACUACUCGGCUAGAGCAUUGGAGAGGGUAGCAGAAUUCAUGGUGUAGCAGUGAAAUGCGUAGAUAUCAUGAGGAAUACCAGAGGCGAGGGCAGCUACCUGGACAAUUGCUGACGCUCAGGCACGAAAGCGUGGGGAGCAAAAAGG